Non-coding RNA from Ailuropoda melanoleuca (giant panda), 73 nucleotides. Lineage: Eukaryota; Metazoa; Chordata; Mammalia; Carnivora; Ursidae. The record is from Rfam.
GCCUGGCUGGCUCAGUCAGUGGAGCAUGCGACUCUUGAUCUUAGGGUCGUGAGUUCAACCCCCACAUUAGGCA